UGGUCGGCAUUCCUGAUCGGUGGA
RNAcentral lists this non-coding RNA (24 nucleotides) under Arabidopsis thaliana (thale cress). Lineage: Eukaryota; Viridiplantae; Streptophyta; Magnoliopsida; Brassicales; Brassicaceae. The record is from RNAcentral.